Molecule: ribosomal RNA, 133 nt
Filed under: Diaphorina citri (Asian citrus psyllid)
Lineage: Eukaryota; Metazoa; Arthropoda; Insecta; Hemiptera; Psyllidae
Source: RNAcentral
AAUAGCGGCGAUAUCAUGUUGAAUGCACUCAGCACUCAGUUCCUAAUGGAGUAAUGGAGCACUGAAGUUAAUCAACGUUGAGCGUGAUUAGUAUCCGGGUGGGUGAUUAUUUGGGCCAUGCGUGCUGCUGGCU